GGCAGGGUAUAGGGAGAUCACAAGGGUUAGUGCAGUUUCCUGAGACUGCUAACAUGGCCUGUUUCCCCUAGGACUGAAGAAGGUCCCUGGAGGGGAGGGAAUGGGAAGAUACAGGUUCUGGAAAUCUCAGUGAGGCUGAAGAGUGAGUUCCUCCCAAGAACCUGGAAAUAAGAGUGGCUCCUGAGAGUUACAAAAAACCCACCUGGAACACAUGUGGGAGUAAAUCCAAAAUGGCUGGUCUGUAAAUGUGUGACUGAGUGUUUGGGAACCAACUAAAGGCUGUCAAGGGUGGUGGCUGAGGACGCCUCUGGGAGGUUGGGCUGGAGGGGGACCCUAUUGGGUGAACAGAAAUCCCAAUUGUAUUAAGUAAACUAAUAAAGGUAAAGCGUUUACUGUAGUGUCCAGCACUCAGCAAGCACUAA
Molecule: non-coding RNA, 422 nt
Filed under: Pongo abelii (Sumatran orangutan)
Lineage: Eukaryota; Metazoa; Chordata; Mammalia; Primates; Hominidae
Source: RNAcentral